Molecule: long non-coding RNA, 2130 nt
Filed under: Calidris pugnax (ruff)
Lineage: Eukaryota; Metazoa; Chordata; Aves; Charadriiformes; Scolopacidae
Description: lncRNA (ENSCPUG00000006372.1)
Source: RNAcentral
ACUAGAGCAGUGACUUUCCAGGCCAAACCAGGAACAGUUGCAAGAUUUUUCUACAGAGGGACCAUUCACAUAAAAUAAAUGCAUUGGGCAUCUGUAAGAAACAGAGCAGACAAUUCUUGAAAGCAAAAACUCUCGGCUGACAUCUUGGCUGGAAUUAAAAGUCCUGUUGUGUGAUGCUGAAAAACUUCAACAACCCUCUGCUGGAAGCUGUUUGGGAGAAAACGAAGUUCUAGUUCUCUUUCUCCCUCCCUCAUUUUUAAGGUGAAUUUAACUGUGUUAGAGGGAGCCAAACUGAGACCAUGAUGAUGGAAUGAUCCAGUGCUUCUCGGAGAUUGCAAACCCCACCUUGCUGUCUGUUGUUGGUGGGCACAAUCCGUCCUCAGACAGAUGGUUUCUGUGGGUCACCAUCAGAGCUGUGAACUCACAACGACGUACCGUCCCGAUCAGAGUGCAUUAAAACCAUGAAACACUUGAACAUAAAACCCAUAAAUCUUGAUUUGCCAUCAUCAGUCCCCUGAAGCAGCUGGUGCUGGCAGAACAGCUCUUUUCAAACGGCAGAGCAGCUGCUCAGCUGGUGUAAAUCAGCACAGGACCUUGUAGAAGGAGGAGUAGAAGUAGAAAAAUAGAAGUAGAAAAACAGUGGUACUGCUUAAAGGUUGUGUUUUCAAGAGAUCAGUGAGUAACUAAAAGUUUAACAUGCCCGCUGGGAAGGGUAUAAAAGAAGAGUCUAAUUUGCAGAAAAGAAGAUUUAAAUUAUAUCUGGAAAAAAAAGAAAAAAAGAUAUUUAGUGGCUUAGCACCAGGCAGGCGACGUUGCAGAUCUUCACUGGAGGUUUGUAAGAACUGAAUAAUUAGACCAACAUGUGUCACACAUGGGUGGAUCCUGUUCUGGUGAAGUGGAUGGGUUCUGGAGAUCUCUUCAGCGCUUGCACAGCAUGGAGCAAUGGACCUCGCCGUUGACACUGAUAGUGGAGCUGCUUGUGAGAGGAAGAAUUUGAGAGUGGGAGCCCAGCAAGAGGGUGGAAUUCGUCACUCCUACCAGACACGCACCAUGGGGGCCCACACAGAAGAUGGUGUAUCUCACACCUCUGCUACUGUGGAGUUUUCCAGCUGUCCCAUGUCUUGGCAGCACCUCGUCUUCUGCAGAGCUGUCAACCAGAUCCUCUCCUCCCCUUCACCGCAAGGUUAAAAGCCAGUUUCUCUGCCAGGUGAGUCUGCCAACGCUCACUCCCAAAUGAUUUUUAUUGCCAGUUUCUGAUACUUUGAAGAACAAGAUGUAUUUGGUGAGGCACUGGCCCAGGUUGCCCAGAGAAGCUGUGGCUGCCCCAUAGAAUCACAGAAUCUUCCUGGUUGGAAGGGACCUUUGAGAUCAUUGAGUCCAACCAUACACACACAAAAAAAAACCCCCCAACAAUCUCUAGAGCAUGCCCUGAAGUGCCACGUCUACACGUCUCUUAAAUACCUCCAGGGAUAAUGACUCCUACACUCCUCCAUCCUUGGAGGGGUUCAAGGCCAGGUUGGAGGGGGCUUGGAGCAACGUGGUGUGGUGGGAGGUGUCCCUGCCCAAGGCAGGGGGUGGCACUGGGGGGGCUUUAAGGUCCCUUCCACCCAAAUAAUUCUGUGAUUCCAUGAUAUUGAAAACAAAGUGAAAAUCACAAGGGACCAGAAAUUACCUGGAAUGUAAAAAUGACCGGGCCAAAUCCCUCUUUGUACCUACACACAGGGCUGAGAGGUACGAACAGCAAAACCUGUCAAUAACAUAAAGUGCUUCUGCCGGUUUGUUUCUUCCUCUCUCUUACGUGGGUAAAUAUUUGCUUCCAUAGUUUUCUGCAGGAUUUAUCAGCAGUGGGUUAGAGACAAGAUUAGGGGGCAGGCAGCACUGGAUUGCUGCUUGUGGUCUCCAGCGGCCGCUCUGAACUUAAGCCGUUCGCGAGACCAGGUCCCACUAACAAUAUAUACAAGCUCCUGACAGUGAUCUGUUCUUCAGACUCUCUGUCUGAGAUGAUUCAGCACUGAACGAUGCCGUCUCUAAUGCAGCAUUCUCCUUCCCGAGCCAGAACUCUGGAGCUCCUCAAAGAAACCCAACCCCACAUUAAUAUAACAAACACACAAUUACAAACACUCUCGCCCA